Molecule: non-coding RNA, 42 nt
Filed under: Schistosoma mansoni
Lineage: Eukaryota; Metazoa; Platyhelminthes; Trematoda; Strigeidida; Schistosomatidae
Source: RNAcentral
AUCCAGCUGACGAGUCCCAAAUAGGACGACGGAAUCCAGGAC